UACGGAGGAUCCGAGCGUUAUCCGGAUUUAUUGGGUUUAAAGGGUGCGUAGGCGGCCUGUUAAGUCAGGGGUGAAAGACGGUAGCUUAACUAUCGCAGUGCCUUUGAUACUGACGGGCUUGAAUGUACUUGAGGUAGGCGGAAUGUGACAAGUAGCGGUGAAAUGCAUAGAUAUGUCACAGAACACCAAUUGCGAAGGCAGCUUACUAAAGUAUGAUUGACGCUGAGGCACGAAAGCGUGGGGAUCAAACAGG
RNAcentral lists this ribosomal RNA (253 nucleotides) under uncultured bacterium. RNAcentral describes it as "partial 16S ribosomal RNA". It matches the Rfam family "Bacterial small subunit ribosomal RNA", at positions 524 to 776 of the family's 1533-position model. The record is from RNAcentral.